Molecule: ribosomal RNA, 925 nt
Filed under: Minervarya rufescens (Malabar wart frog)
Lineage: Eukaryota; Metazoa; Chordata; Amphibia; Anura; Dicroglossidae
Description: Fejervarya rufescens (Malabar wart frog) partial 16S ribosomal RNA
Rfam family: Bacterial large subunit ribosomal RNA
Source: RNAcentral
CCCUAAGUGGGCCUGAAAGCAGCCACCUUUAAAAAAAGCGUUAUAGCUUAUGUUCGCCACCUUAAAAAAAUUCCAUUUAUACUUACGAACCCUACAUUAGUAAUGAAUAACCUUAUACAAUUAUAAGAGUUUUUAUGUUAAAACUAGUAACAUGAAGAAACCCUUCUCCCAAAUGCAAGUAAACGCCAAAACGGAAAAACCAUUGGCACUUAACGUUUUUGAACUUAAUAUAGCAACUUCCCCAGAAAACCCUACUCUAUGUCACGUUAACCUUACUCCAGAGCAUUCCUGGAAAGAUAGAAAGAAAAAGAAGGAACUCGGCAAAUCUAAAUCUCGCCUGUUUACCAAAAACAUCGCCUCUUGACAUAUACUAUAAGAGGUCUAGCCUGCCCAGUGACAGCAAGUUCAACGGCCGCGGUACUCUGACCGUGCGAAGGUAGCAUAAUCACUUGUUCUUUAAUUGAGGACUAGUAUCAACGGCAUCACGAAGAUUUUACUGUCUCCUUUUUCUAAUCAGUGAAACUGAUCUCCCCGUGAAGAAGCGGGGAUAACCCUAUAAGACGAGAAGACCCCAUGGAGCUUUAAACCCAAUGACACCCCAACCCCUUAUUUUUCCCCAGAAUUCAUAAGCCCUGUCCAUUGGUUUUAGGUUGGGGUGACCGCGGAGUAUAACACAUCCUCCACAACGCACGGACCUUCCUCCUUAUCUUAGAGCCACACCUCAAAGAAUCAAUAAAUUGACGUAAUAUGAUCCAAUAGUUUUGAUUAAUGAACCAAGUUACCCUGGGGAUAACAGCGCAAUCCAUUUUUAGAGCCCUUAUCAACAAAUGGGUUUACGACCUCGAUGUUGGAUCAGGGUAUCCCAGUGGUGCAGCCGCUACUGAUGGUUUGUUUGUUCAACAAUUAAAACCCUACGUGAUCUGAG